This 465-nucleotide ribosomal RNA is filed under the name uncultured Klebsiella sp. RNAcentral describes it as "bacterial SSU rRNA". It matches the Rfam family "Bacterial small subunit ribosomal RNA", at positions 338 to 795 of the family's 1533-position model. The record is from RNAcentral. Lineage: Bacteria; Pseudomonadati; Pseudomonadota; Gammaproteobacteria; Enterobacterales; Enterobacteriaceae.
CCUACGGGUGGCUGCAGUGGGGAAUAUUGCACAAUGGGCGCAAGCCUGAUGCAGCCAUGCCGCGUGUGUGAAGAAGGCCUUCGGGUUGUAAAGCACUUUCAGCGGGGAGGAAGGCGGUGAGGUUAAUAACCUCAUCGAUUGACGUUACCCGCAGAAGAAGCACCGGCUAACUCCGUGCCAGCAGCCGCAGUAAUACGGAGGGUGCAAGCGUUAAUCGGAAUUACUGGGCGUAAAGCGCACGCAGGCGGUCUGUCAAGUCGGAUGUGAAAUCCCCGGGCUCAACCUGGGAACUGCAUUCGAAACUGGCAGGCUAGAGUCUUGUAGAGGGGGGUAGAAUUCCAGGUGUAGCGGUGAAAUGCGUAGAGAUCUGGAGGAAUACCGGUGGCGAAGGCGGCCCCCUGGACAAAGACUGACGCUCAGGUGCGAAAGCGUGGGGAGCAAACAGGAUUAGAUACCCCGGUAGUC